This 69-nucleotide transfer RNA is filed under the name Pedicinus badii. Its description in RNAcentral is "tRNA-Ser". The record is from RNAcentral. Lineage: Eukaryota; Metazoa; Arthropoda; Insecta; Psocodea; Pedicinidae.
AGAGGUAAGAAGCCUAUUCUUGACUUCUAAUCAUAGAAUAAAGUGUUUUAGCUUGCACUUUUACCUUUU